Molecule: ribosomal RNA, 251 nt
Filed under: uncultured prokaryote
Description: partial 16S ribosomal RNA
Rfam family: Bacterial small subunit ribosomal RNA
Source: RNAcentral
ACGUAGGGUGCGAGCGUUAAUCGGAAUUACUGGGCGUAAAGCGUGCGCAGGCGGUUCGCUAAGACAGGUGUGAAAUCCCCGGGCUUAACCUGGGAACUGCGUUUGUGACUGCGAGACUUGAGUGCGGCAGAGGGGGGUGGAAUUCCACGUGUAGCAGUGAAAUGCGUAGAGAUGUGGAGGAACACCGAUGGCGAAGGCAGCCCCCUGGGUCGUACCUGACGCUAAGACGCGACAGCACGGGGAGCGAACGG